GCUCAUGAUCCUUUAGCAAAAUCAAAUGGUCACCCAUCUUUUCCAGAUGAAUUGACAGAACCUGGUCUACCAUAUCAGAGUGAUAAUAAGUUGCACCCUUUUGGCUUGUUCUGGUCUGAACUGCUUGAAGGCUCUCAAUCUCAAACUAGACAAAUUGAGUCAUCUGAUAUGCCUUCCACUGUGGGAAGACCCGCGGCAUUUGGUGCUAUGCCUGAUCGAGCUGCUGUGGCAGAGAAAUGGUCUGAUGUUUAUGGACAAGAGAUGCUUUCUGUUCCCAACUCAUUUCAAGAUGCCACUGCUGCUCGCCAUUUGUCACGUGUUGAACAAGAGCCUAAUCAUUUUGACCUAGCAGAGCAGCUUAUGUCACGACAAUUCCAGCAGCAGCAGCAGCUCCAACAACGAAAUAUGCUAUCUCAUUCACACUUGAAUGACUCACUCCUAGAACAUGUGACAGGUCAGAAUCUUAUUCACCAUCGGCAGUUGGCCAACCAUCCCGUGCCAGAUGUGGAACAUCUUUUGGCACUUCAGCUGCAGCAACAGCGGCAGCUUCAGCUCCAACAACAACA
This 566-nucleotide unclassified non-coding RNA is filed under the name Hevea brasiliensis (rubber tree). Lineage: Eukaryota; Viridiplantae; Streptophyta; Magnoliopsida; Malpighiales; Euphorbiaceae. The record is from RNAcentral.